AAAAUUUGCUGGGAACGGGCCGCACGCUUCCUCUCUUAAGGCCCCUCUUUAGAUUAUGACACGUCAUCAUCCGCACGCAUCUCAAAGCUGCUUGGAAUCCCCUAAUCAGUCGAUACGUAUCUGCAGCUGGGCGUAGUGCUGUGUACAGUAUAGUCUUUGUAAUCGUACACUUCCAUGAAAAGAAAGCACAGCGCCCUAGUGCAUCUGCAUCUCACGGACACGCCGGCGCCGGCGCCGGCGACCGUCCGCCUCAUCGCCGUGAUUUUCCGGUGACUACCUGCCCCAGCUUGGUAUCUCCGUGUUGCGGAAGCGAUGGACCUGUGAGCGCCCGAUUCCUCACCGCCGCCUUCUGCUGACAAGCCGCCCCGCCGCGGCUGUGUUGCUUCUCGCGGAAGCGACGGCGCCAUCGUGCGCCCGAAUCCAAUGCAGUGAACUUGUUCAGUAAUUUUAGACUUCCUCACAUUCAGCUAGCAAAGCUUUGAUCUUCCAUGUAUAGAAAGCUUGCUAGUAGAGCGCUAGAAUGCUAGCAAGGUUCCCUCGGUUCCAAACAUCUUUGAAGAUGCAUAUAAAGCUUGUCGGCUGGGGUUCCAGAUCCCUUUACAUGAUCUCUCAUCUUGGAGUUUGACAAUACAGGUGUGAUCGAUGCAAUCCAAAAACAGAGUUUGCUUGUUUCGAGUGUAGAAAAAUAGGAAGGAUGUAAUUGAGCAGCUUACUUUGUAGCUGCUUUAGCUAGAAGUUCAAGGCAAAAAAGUUUCUGGUUGGGGUCUAUCCCAAACAGUUUACCUGAUGUAUUUGUCGAGUCUGUAAACUUUGUCAAUUACUGAUCAAUGAAAAAAAAAUCCGCAAAAAGGAACAAUUGUUA
This is a long non-coding RNA of Lolium perenne, 862 nucleotides long. RefSeq lists it as uncharacterized. Lineage: Eukaryota; Viridiplantae; Streptophyta; Magnoliopsida; Poales; Poaceae. The record is from RefSeq and is a predicted model, not a curated record.